GCAGUGGUGGUUCAGUGGUAGAAUUCUUGCCUCCAACGCAGGAAACCCAGGUUCAAUUCCCAGCCAGUGUA
RNAcentral lists this transfer RNA (71 nucleotides) under Loxodonta africana (African savanna elephant). It matches the Rfam family "tRNA". From Rfam's summary of the family: Transfer RNA (tRNA) molecules are approximately 80 nucleotides in length. Their secondary structure includes four short double-helical elements and three loops (D, anti-codon, and T loops). Further hydrogen bonds mediate the characteristic L-shaped molecular structure. tRNAs have two regions of fundamental functional importance: the anti-codon, which is responsible for specific mRNA codon recognition, and the 3' end, to which the tRNAs corresponding amino acid is attached (by aminoacyl-tRNA synthetases). tRNAs cope with the degeneracy of the genetic code in two manners: having more than one tRNA (with a specific anti-codon) for a particular amino acid; and 'wobble' base-pairing, i.e. permitting non-standard base-pairing at the 3rd anti-codon position. The record is from Rfam by way of RNAcentral. Lineage: Eukaryota; Metazoa; Chordata; Mammalia; Proboscidea; Elephantidae.